CUGGGAUUGCCUUAGUAACGGCGAGUGAAGCGGCAAUAGCUCAAAUUUGAAAGCUGGCGCCUUCGGCGUCCGCGUUGUAAUUUGUAGAGGAUGCUUCGGCGAGGACUCCUGCCUAAGUUCCCUGGAAUGGGACGUCACAGAGGGUGAGAAUCCCGUAUGUGGCGGGCGGUCCAAGCCAUGUGAAGCUCCUUCGACGAGUCGAGUUGUUUGGGAAUGCAGCUCUAAAUGGGAGGUAAAUUUCUUCUAAAGCUAAAUACCGGCCAGAGACCGAUAGCGCACAAGUAGAGUGAUCGAAAGAUGAAAAGCACUUUGGAAAGAGAGUUAAAAAGUACGUGAAAUUGUUGAAAGGGAAGCGCUUGCAACCAGACUCGCUCGCAGUUGCUCAGCCCGCCUCCUGGCGGGUGUACUCUUCUGCGAUCGGGCCAGCAUCAGUUCGGGCGGCCGGAUAAAGGUGUCGGGAAUGUAGCACCCUUCGGGGUGUGUUAUAGCCCGGCGCGGAAUGCGGCCAGCCUGGACUGAGGAUCUCGCUUCGGCAAGGAUGCUGGCGUAAUGGUUGUAAGCGGCCCGUCUUGAAACACGGACCAAGGAGUCUAACAUCUAUGCGAGUGUUUGGGGUGUCAAACCCAUGCGCGUAAUGAAAGUGAACGGAGGUGGGGAACCCCGCAAGGGUGCACCAUCGACCGAUCCUGAUGUCUUCGGGAUGGAUUUGAGUAAGAGCAUAGCUGUUGGGACCCGAAAGAUGGUGAACUAUGCCUGAAUAGGGUGAAGCCAGAGGAAACUCUGGUGGAGGCUCGCAGCGGUUCUGACGUGCAAAUCGAUCGUCAAAUUUGGGUAUAGGGGCGAAAGACUAAUCGAACCAUCUAGUAGCUGGUCUGCA
RNAcentral lists this ribosomal RNA (877 nucleotides) under Phyllosticta spinarum. RNAcentral describes it as "partial large subunit ribosomal RNA". It matches the Rfam family "Eukaryotic large subunit ribosomal RNA", at positions 69 to 960 of the family's 3401-position model. Lineage: Eukaryota; Fungi; Ascomycota; Dothideomycetes; Botryosphaeriales; Phyllostictaceae. The record is from RNAcentral.